GUGUCCUUCAGCACGGCCUUCAGUGGCGUCACCGCCUCCGGCAUCAUGGCCACCAACAUCUCCGCGACGCCGCCCCAUCCACCCAACGCCGCCAUCUCCUCCAUCGCGGCGGCGACCGCCCUGGAGAGCCCCUCCGGAACCCAGUGCAGCGCGGGGGCCUCCGAGGAGGCCGCGCGGGCGGCGGCGCAGAAGAGGAGCAGGUCCACGGCCUCCUUGCCGGCCCCGUCCGCUGGGGCUGAGAGGGGGACGGGAGGAUUGAGGCGAGGAGGGAUUUGACGGAGGUGCCGGAGCCCUCGGGGCGCGCGUAGGGCGCCGCGGCGAGAAGGGAGCGGAGCGGCGCGGCGACGCGGAGGAGGUCCUCGCGGCGGAGGCCACCGACGCGGCGGGCGACGGCAACGGCGCCAUGGCAUAUCCACAAAGAGGUCCGUGUGAGAACCGAGUUGUGAAGGAGGAGCGACAACCUCCGGUCCCACUCGUCAGACAUAUCCACAACCUCCAGCUCCGCCUCGGCCGCGGCAGCGACCGGCGCGCCGCUAUCGCCGCCAUCACCCUCCGCUCCGUCCUCCCUCUCCCUCGCAUGGUCUGGCCGCCUCUACGCACGCAAUCGAGCACGGCGAUUUGCCGUGCCCGGAGACCGCAAAAGCAGAGGAUGAGGACAAUCCUCUUGAGGCGAGCUUGGAAUGGAGUCCCCUCCCACGCCGCCGAUUGACCUCACUGCUAUAGGCACUGGAGAUCGAGAUGUCCGUCUUCCCCACCAACUCCGGCUCAAACUGCGGCCCCCGCCGUCCUGCCUGCUCGGCUCUAUCACAGUGUUCAGCCACGCCGCCAACGCGUGCACCCCGUCACCGAGCAAGCAAGGAUCACCGCCUGCAUGCCUCGGGCCAUACCAGAGCCUGCGCCUAUGCCGGUGAGUUUAUGGGAUACCGUAGGCGAAGAUGACCGUGCUGUUUUGGCAGUUGCAUUGCCUGCACGGCUUAACCGUGCCAUGCCGCCAUGGCUACCAUUAUGCCGGCCAUUUACAGUAUCCUAUAAGGAUGUAGAUUGUGCAGCAUCCUGCUAGGUGUUAUGCAAGGCUAAGCUCUUUCAAAAAAAUGAAGGACGCCGAUAAGUCCCGAACGAGUUCGUGAUCUGACCAUGGCAAAUCGAACAUCUUUUAUGGCAAUUUAUAUUUCUUCACUAUGACAAGUUUAGUUGGUAACAUGGCAAUUCCGCCCUUAGUUUGUUUUUUGCUAGGAAAUUGCCGUGCUUGCCAACUAAACUUGUCAUCCUCGCGUCAACUACAAUUGCCAUAAAAAACGUUCGAUUUGCCAUGGUCAGAUCCCGAACUUUUGGGAUUUAUCAUUUCUGAAAAAGAAAAGAAUAAGGCUAAGAUAAGCUUCCAAGUUGGAUCUUAAAAGCUAGAAAUUCCAUGCUAAGUAGAGAAAAACUGAAAUAUCUAUGACGCCUAUUUCAAUAUGGCUCGAGAUUAUAACGAUGCAGUGAGGGUACAUCAAGAUAUAUAGUUACAAAUUUAUAUAGAACACAGCUGUUUCUUCAAUCCCAAACAUUACAAUUGUAUAGUAAAUACUACUUCAGUCUUCAAAAUAGACAUAUAUUAUAAUGUCUAGACAUGCAAUGCAGCUCGUUUUCCUGAAACAAAAAAGGAGCAUGUUGAAUGCGAGCUUCCAGCCAUAGCUUGGAGCAGUCUUGGUAUCGGGGGCAUUGUGAUCUCAACUAGCCCUUGCAGAAUCUGAACCACCUGUCCCAUUGUUGGCCGAUCAAGCUCAUUGUCUUGGAGGCACCAACACGCAACCUUGCAAGCAAUUUCAAGCUCAUCUAGAUUGGCAAUACCAUGUAGCUUGUGAUCUACCAAACUCCCGACAUCUCCUUCAAGAAGCUUAUGUGCGGCAUGCACAGGAAAGUAAACAUCAGUGUUGCCACCGCUAGGAACUGUCGGACAUGAGUUCCUCCUUCCAGAUAUUAUUUCCAGCAACACCAUCCCGUAGCUAAAAACAUCGACUUUUGGUGUAAUAGGAACACCGGUAAGCCAUUCAGGCGCAAGGUACCCUGUUGUUCCUCUCAUUGUUGUUAAUACUCGGCUAUAAUCCCUUCCUAAAAGCUUUGCCAUCCCAAAGUCUGCAAUUUUUGGAAGGAGUGAAGCAUCAAGAAGUAUGUUUUCUGGCUUGAUAUCACAGUGUAUGACGCGGUCUCGACAACUGUCAUGCAAGUAGGCCAACCCUCUUGCAACACCUAGGCCGAUUUCAUACCUAGCAGUCCAGUUCAACAUUGAGUUGCUUCCAAAUAAAUGGACAUCAAGAGAGCGAUUUGACAUGUAUUCAUAAACAAGCAACCUCUUAGAACCCUCACAACAGAAACCAACAAGCUUAACUAAAUUGAUGUGCUGGACAGCUCCAAUUGAGCUCACUUCAGCUCUGAAUUGCUUCUCUCCUUGAUAAGCACCAUCAAGCCUCUUCACUGCUAUGGCAUUGGAGCCCUUUAUAAACCCCUUGAAUACAGAACCAAAACUGCCUCCCCCCAACUUAUCUGCAAAAGAAUUUGUUGCUCGUUGAAGAUCAUUGUAUCUAAAUGCAGUGAUUCCAUCACAAACUUCAGACUCAUUCCGUAUUUGACCAGAUCUCUUGUUUUUGUUUCUCCAAAUCAUUAGUAGGAGGACAAGUGCAAAUAAGCCUAGAGUCGAAAUACCUGUACCAAUUACAAUUCCAGCAACUAUCCCUCUUCUGUUGUUUUUCAGACUUUGUACAUCUUUAGCAGAAAGACGAAGAUAAAGAAUUUCUCCAUUUGAAUUGGUGGUGUCACUACAUUGUAGUUGUCUUAUGUUGAGCAAUUCAUUAUGCCACAUAGAGCAUCUGUUGUCGCUGAAGGAGUAUGCACUGCAAGAGCAAUUACUCAGGCAAAUCUGUGCGCAGUCACUCGCGCUUGCAGCAGCUUCUACUUUUGGGGCAUUCUGGGGCAACUUAACACAUGGUACAGAAUAGAACUUGUCUGUGGUAUGUGUUGUGCUUUUGUUGCUAAUGCAGUCUAACUGAGUAUUUCUCGAGCACCCACCCGCUCGAUUUUCUAGCUCCCAGUCCUUUGGGGAUGUUAUGGUGAAGCCCUCCAUACAGUUGCAGUGUGGAACUUUAUUAUCAGUGCAAAUUGUGAAAGGUCCACAAAUUGCAUGGACAUCACACUGAGCUCUUGGUUGGGCAUUGAUCAUUACCCAAUCCUCUGAGCCCUUCAUCCAAAUGAAUGUCUUCGCUUGACCUGAGACGUCAAUGACAUGACGAGUGACCAUAUUUGGAUCCAUAUAUUCAGCUACUAAAUUAUACGUCAAGUACUUCUCUUUGUCAUUGUCGACAAAUUUUGGACUAAUAGAGUGGCGGGCUGACAUCUCUGGAAGUGCAGCGAAAUAUUUGCCGUUCCAUACACCGGUGGACCAAUAUGGUAUGGAUGAGUUCAGUGCCAGAAGCAAUAACUGGUCAACACCACUGGGGUCUAAUUGUUCACAGUACGCACCGGUAGCCGGGUUGACCAAGUUUUUCCAAGAUACAAAACGGCGCUUCAGGCCGGUGACCUUGUCCCAUCCGAGCUUCGCCCCAGGAAAAAAUGUAUCUGUGGGGUGGUCAAAGCUCUGCCACAAAACCUUUGUUGAGUUUGAAGAGUCUGUCAGUACAAGAUUUCCACUACUCAACAGCAUAGCAGCAGUGGUGCUAUUUCUUUUGAUGUUUGCUUGUGUAGUCCAGAUCGCGGACUUGGUGGACCGGUUUACGACGACAAGGUUGCCAUCGUGGGAGAUCGUGAGCUCCAGUGAGGUGGUGUUCCUGAUUGGCUUAUCCCUAUUUGCAACCCAUGCUGAAGUGAAUUUCGGUACCGUGUUGAACCAUAUGCCAAGGUACCAGUUGGCGGUGUGUCCAAUCUGGAAGAAGCCAAGCGCGUACCUGCCAUUGCUGGAGAUGAGCUUGUUGUCGACGCCAAGUGCUUGGCCGGGCAAGAUGGUGUCUGUCACGGCAGAACUCGCUGAGGUGUGUAGGCACAAGAGCAUGGUGAAAACAACGAGGACGGGAGUCAUGGUGAACUGAAGGUGGUGAGGGCGUGCAGAGGGCCUUGUUGUUGCUGUGCAGAGGCUUGAAAUGUAGAGACUGUGGAGUCAAGCCCAGCAUCCAAACUAGUAUAGGCAGAUUCAAAGGUUUUUUUCCAGUGGUGAUGAUGAAUCGCCUCUUGCAUAGCAUGCACGGCAGGAUUUGUGUGGUGGUAAUGGAAAGGGUGGAGGAAGAAGAACGCUGGGGACAUCAGCACCAGACACUUGGUUCGCCGUCGAAAUCUCGUCGUCGCUCUCCUCCGGCUACCCGGCGAACCCAGUCAGAAGAGGUCUUUGCACCUGAAUAACAAUUCGUUGGUUACUAUAAAUUGAGAUAUCGAUGUGUGUGUGUGGUUUAAUGAUGAGACCGACACUGUUCUUUUCGCACCCAACUGAAGUGCGUAGCAAAAAGAAAACAAAAAUAAACUACAAAAAAGGUGAAGCGCAAUUACAACGAGGACAAGUUGCAAUUCCACGAAAAGAAAAAUGUAUUUGCAACAAUUGCAAAACUAGUGAAGUACUACCUCUGUAUCAAAAUAUAUUUUUUGUACAGAGGUAGGUAACAAUAAAAUGGUGACUGAAAGUUCAGGAAAGUGACUGAAACUUAACAAAAGUAACUGACUGAAACUUAACAAAAAGAAAUACUGAAACAUAAUUGGACAUGUAAAAAAGAAUGAAACUUCAAAUGCUUAAAAAUAAGGAGAGUCUAAUUAAUACAAUUCUGCUGCUUUCAUCAGCAAAUAAAAGAAGAGAUUGCGCUGCUUUAAAUUCAUCCGUCAACCAUCAUCUACCGGAUAGUUAACUAGCACUGAUUUUCACCAAUAUUCAGUUGGUGAAGGCACUUGUGUUGCACUUAUGCACCCUCUCCCUCACCCCUCGUUCAUAAAUAAUCGGCACUCACUUCUACUGCUACAUAGUUCAUAAGAAGAAGAAAAGUGGUCUAUGUUGCUAGUUGUGCAAGGUUUAACAUGUCGAGAACGCAAGAAUAGAUGGGAAUAGGAGGUAGCAGGAAACUUAAUUGGUGCCCAACAAGAAGAUUGUUAGAUCCUAUCAGAGAACGUUGUCUCAACAAUAAUCAACACAGGAGAUAGAUGCAGGAUGUGUGUAGUGUGACCUGCAGAUCUGCAGCAAACACCCACAUCUGGUGGAGGUGCUAUUGACUCAGGAGCAUCCUCACUGGCGUGUCGCCUACUCUGGUGCUGCUGUAAGGAUGUUUGAGUAUGCCCCAUUUUUCUGGCAACUAUGCGAUGUUCUGGUUAAAAGCUCACGACACAGGGAAUACAAAGUUGAUAAUUGUAUUUCUAUCGUCUAUGAAAUUUGUUCUGGAUUGGAUGCAAUUGUGUUAUUUUGAAUUUGGUUCGGCGGGUAGAAACAUUUUUCAUGAGAUAACAGUUCAAAGAUUCAGAUUUUCCCGGAUAUUUUUGGGAUGAGUGUCUUAACUUUCUAUAUGAUCAGUUGUGUCUGUCACUAAUUAAACAAGAUCAUAGUCUUGGGUGCAGAAUGGUGUGGAGCUCUUUGAUCUACAGCAAAAGUCAUCUCAAAGGUGUUAAAUAGACACACUGCAAAAUUCAGCAUAUUGAUGUUAUGCAGUCCAGAUUUAUUAAGGGGCGUUCGAUUGUGGAAAAAUUUAUCCUUGCCUUGGUGAUAGUACAGUCAGCUGUCAAGAGGAAAUUGCCAAUGAUUGUUUUGAAGUUGGAUUUUCAAAAAGCCUUUAAUAAAUUUCUUUGGGACUACCUGCUUGAAAUCUUCGGUCACCGAAAUUUUCACGAUGGCCAGAUUAAAUGGAUCCAAACCAUGCUCCGAUCUGGCCAGGCUCAGGUUCUUAUCAAUGGCACCCCUGGCUCUGGGGAAGCCAUUUCUUUUGAGUUGGGAGUUCGGCAGGGUGAUUCUCUUUUCCCGUGUCUUUUCAUUUGGUUGCCAACGUCUUGCAGUGUAUGUGUGCCAGAGAGUUCAACAUUGGUCAGCUAAUUCACCCGUUGGGAAGACAGGGCCCCUUCCCGGUGCUGAAAUAUGAUCUCUCUCUCCCCCUCGGCAACCCUCGCUCUGUUUCUCUCCGCCUUUACUUCACCCACACUUCAGAAUGAUGUGUUCCUGUACUGUACUGUACUGCACACCUGAUCUUUUUCCGUACGGUUUCUUUACCUGGUCUUUAAUGUGGCCAGAUGAGAGUUCAGCCGUUUCUUGAUUGAUUAUAGCUGCCAUAGCUGUGGUCUUCUGUUCUUUUUUUUACUGCGACAGUUGUGAUGUUCUCUUCUUUUUUACCCAAGAUUUCAUUGUCUCCCCCUUCUGCUCUUGCGAUGCAGAGGCCGUGCGUCUUGCAAUUCCUUAUACCAAAUACCUCGGGUAGUUUGGAUAAAAAAUGGCGGCUAUAGUGGUAUUACAGUUAGCCCAAAUUUGUAGUUGAUUACAUUAAUUUUGCAAUCGGUUGCUGGGAAAAGCUGCAAGUGUUUACCUGUUGCGUUGUCAGUUUUAUCAUACCCACCAAUGAAGCUCUGAUUGUGAUGGCCUAAUUUUUUUAAGCCCUGGACCGUAGAAAAUUGUUCUACAGCAAUUUUCAUUAAUAAUAAUAGUAAGUUACAAUGGUAGGAGGAAAGAAGAAAAAGGAGAAAACAAAACUAUCUAAAAGGAAGAGGAAACCACCAUUUCAGCUCUAGGAAACGGAAGAAAAAAGUAAGAAGUUUGAAUCUAUCCAUUCCCAGAAACAAGCAACAUGCUUGUCCCUGAUUCUAUGUCUGAGCAGCGUGAGAUCCUCCUUGAGACAGCCGAGCGAGACAUCAAACAGAAAUGAAACCUGUCUUCUUCCUCUGCCCUGCUCUCGUUCUACUCUGAAUCCUCUGCUUUCUGGUGGCUGCUCUCCACAAGCAGCAAGUGUCCCUCGGUGCCAGCUCUCCACAAGUUGUAUUUAUUUCCUCCACCUUCUCUCCGACGACAUCGUGGCCUCGGGACGUGAGCACCAGACACUUGUUCACGGGUCAAGAUCUCAUCAUCGCUCCACUUCGGUUAUCCAGAGGACCCGGUCAGAAGGUCUUUGCACCUGAUUGGCAUUUCGUUGGUUACUAUAAACAGAUACUGAUGUCUGUGUAUGUGUGGCUUAAUGAUGAGAGCGGCGAUAUUCUUUUUGCACCAAAGCAAAAUGCAACUGCAGCAAAAAGAAAACAAAAAAAUCUUUAAAAAAAGGUAAGUGCAAUUACUACGAAGACAAGUUGCAAUUCCACUAAAAUAAAGGUGUAGUUUCAACAAAUGCAAAACUAGUGAAGUAUCAAUAAUAGGGUGAAUGAAAGUUCAGAAAAGUGACCGAAACUUAACAAAAGCAACUGAAAUCACAAAAGUGACUGAAACUUGACAAAAAAUUA
Triticum aestivum (bread wheat) is the source of this 7410-nucleotide long non-coding RNA. RefSeq lists it as uncharacterized. NCBI's taxonomy places the organism in Eukaryota, Viridiplantae, Streptophyta, Magnoliopsida, Poales, Poaceae. The transcript has 2 exons. The record is from RefSeq and is a predicted model, not a curated record.